GAGCACCUGCCCCUACUUAUUUCAAGAAGAUUGCAGUAAAACGAUUAAAUGAGGGAACAUAUGCAGAGGUGCUUUUAAAAAGCAUAUGCCACCUUUUUUAUUAAUUAUUAUAUAAAAUGAAGCAUUUAAUUAUAGUAAUAAUUUGAAGUAGUUUGAAGUACCACACUGAGGUGAGGACUUAAAAAUGAUAAGACGAGUUCCCUAUUUUAUAAGAAAAAUAAGCCAAAAUUAAAUAUUCUUUUGGAUAUAAAUUUCAACAGUGAGAUAGCUGCCUAGUGGAAAUGAAUAAUAUCCCAGCCACUAGUGUACAGGGUGUUUUGUGGCACAGGAUUAUGUAAUAUGGAACUGCUCAAGCAAAUAACUAGUCAUCACAACAGCAGUUCUUUGUAAUAACUGAAAAAGAAUAUUGUUUCUCGGAGAAGGAUGUCAAAAGAUCGGCCCAGCUCAGGGAGCAGUUUGCCCUACUAGCUCCUCGGACAGCUGUAAAGAAGAGUCUCUGGCUCUUUAGAAUACUGAUCCCAUUGAAGAUACCACGCUGCAUGUGUCCUUAGUAGUCAUGUCUCCUUAGGCUCCUCUUGGACAUUCUGAGCAUGUGAGACCUGAGGACUGCAAACAGCUAUAAGAGGCUCCAAAUUAAUCAUAUCUUUCCCUUUGAGAAUCUGGCCAAGCUCCAGCUAAUCUACUUGGAUGGGUUGCCAGCUAUCUGGAGAAAAAGAUCUUCCUCAGAAGAAUAGGCUUGUUGUUUUACAGUGUUAGUGAUCCAUUCCCUUUGACGAUCCCUAGGUGGAGAUGGGGCAUGAGGAUCCUCCAGGGGAAAAGCUCACUACCACUGGGCAACAACCCUAGGUCAGGAGGUUCUGUCAAGAUACUUUCCUGGUCCCAGAUAGGAAGAUAAAGUCUCAAAAACAACCACCACACGUCAAGCUCUUCAUUGUUCCUAUCUGCCAAAUCAUUAUACUUCCUACAAGCAGUGCAGAGAGCUGAGUCUUCAGCAGGUCCAAGAAAUUUGAACACACUGAAGGAAGUCAGCCUUCCCACCUGAAGAUCAACAUGCCUGGCACUCUAGCACUUGAGGAUAGCUGAAUGAAUGUGUAUUUCUUUGUCUCUUUCUUUCUUGUCUUUGCUCUUUGUUCUCUAUCUAAAGUGUGUCUUACCCAUUUCCAUGUUUCUCUUGCUAAUUUCUUUCGUGUGUGCCUUUGCCUCAUUUUCUCUUUUUGUUCACAAGAGUGGUCUGUGUCUUGUCUUAGACAUAUCUCUCAUUUUUCAUUUUGUUGCUAUUUCUCUUUGCUCUCCUAGAUGUGGCUCUUCUUUCACGCUUUAUUUCAUGUCUCCUUUUUGGGUCACAUGCUGUGUGCUUUUUGUCCUUUUCUUGUUCUGUCUACCUCUCCUUUCUCUGCCUACCUCUCUUUUCUCUUUGUGAACUGUGAUUAUUUGUUACCCCUUCCCCUUCUCGUUCGUUUUAAAUUUCACCUUUUUUCUGAGUCUGGCCUCCUUUCUGCUGUUUCUACUUUUUAUCUCACAUUUCUCAUUUCUGCAUUUCCUUUCUGCCUCUCUUGGGCUAUUCUCUCUCUCCUCCCCUGCGUGCCUCAGCAUCUCUUGCUGUUUGUGAUUUUCUAUUUCAGUAUUAAUCUCUGUUGGCUUGUAUUUGUUCUCUGCUUCUUCCCUUUCUACUCACCUUUGAGUAUUUCAGCCUCUUCAUGAAUCUAUCUCCCUCUCUUUGAUUUCAUGUAAUCUCUCCUUAAAUAUUUCUUUGCAUAUGUGGGCAAGUGUACGUGUGUGUGUGUCAUGUGUGGCAGAGGGGCUUCCUAACCCCUGCCUGAUAGGUGCAGAACGUCGGCUAUCAGAGCAAGCAUUGUGGAGCGGUUCCUUAUGCCAGGCUGCCAUGUGAGAUGAUCCAAGACCAAAACAAGGCCCUAGACUGCAGUAAAACCCAGAACUCAAGUAGGGCAGAAGGUGGAAGGCUCAUAUGGAUAGAAGGCCCAAAGUAUAAGACAGAUGGUUUGAGACUUGAGACCCGAGGACUAAGAUGGAAAGCCCAUGUUCCAAGAUAGAUAGAAGCCUCAGGCCUGAAACCAACAAAAGCCUCAAGAGCCAAGAAAACAGAGGGUGGCCUGAAUUGGACCGAAGGCCUGAGUUGGAUGGAAGUCUCAAGGCUUGAGUUAGAAGUCUUAAGACCUGGGACAGGACACAUGGAAGGCCUAAGAACUGAGACUUGUGACACAAGGCCAACGACCUAAGAUUAGCCCAGGGUUGUAGCUGGAAGACCUACAACCCAAGGAUGGAAGGCCCCUGUCACAAAGCCUACCUAGAUGGAUAGAGGACCCAAGCGAAAAAGUUUCUGGCAUCACUACCACUACUGAUUAAACAAGAAUAAGAGAACAUUUUAUCAUCAUCUGCUUUAUUCACAUAAAUGAAGUUGUGAUGAAUAAAUCUGCUUUUAUGCAGACACAAGGAAUUAAGUGGCUUCGUCAUUGUCCUUCUACCUCAAAGAUAAUUUAUUCCAAAAGCUAAGAUAAAUGGAAGACUCUUGAACUUGUGAACUGAUGUGAAAUGCAGAAUCUCUUUUGAGUCUUUGCUGUUUGGAAGAUUGAAAAAUAUUGUUCAGCAUGGGUGACCACCAGAAAGUAAUCUUAAGCCAUCUAGAUGUCACAAUUGAAACAAACUGGGGAGUUGGUUGCUAUUGUAAAAUAAAAUAUACUGUUUUGAAAACUU
This 2712-nucleotide long non-coding RNA is filed under the name Homo sapiens (human). RNAcentral's name for it is "X inactive specific transcript". The stretch from base 720 to 845 matches the Rfam family "X-chromosome inactivation gene exon 4". The record is from RNAcentral. Lineage: Eukaryota; Metazoa; Chordata; Mammalia; Primates; Hominidae.